UUGGCAAAAAAUCUCGGGUAGAACUUGCGUGACAUUGUGGUUGGUGAUAUUGUGACAUUGAUCAACUACAAUGUCACAAGUAUCUUUCUUCUUUCUUUUUGACAAUAUUUUUUUAUUUUUUUGUACACGUGUGAUAAUGUGAUUGACCAAUAUCGUCAAUAUCACCAACCAUAAUAUCAACCAAUUAUUAUCCAAAAAUCACCCUUCCCUCGUAUUAUAAAUAAAUGUUCAAGUCUUGAAGAAAGUAAGCCCUAUCAUCAUUCAGAUACUCAUUACUUUUAAACAACAAAGAAACCAUGGCAUCAACUGAGCCUAAUAACGAUUUUUUAGUCAGGUGCAAAGGAUGCAGUAGCUUCAGCACAGACAACUGUGGGAAAUGCUGCAGCUGGUGUCCAGACAACUGUGGGAAAUGCUGCAGCUAAUGUUCAGAAGACCGUAGGAGAAUAUGCUACCAAGGCUGCUGAUUUUGUGCAGUCCAAACCAGAAGAGCCAGCCAAACCUGAAGGUGUGAUUGCUGGUGCUAAAAAUGCUGUUGGAGGCUUAUUUAAGAAAUGAAACAUCACUGAUUUCACUUUAGCAUCCUGUGAUUAAUUAAUUAAUUAAUUAAUAAGGAUACUAAACUUGUCAUCCCUUCAAGUAUGUGUAUAAGUUAGCACUGUGUAUCUUAUCAUAUAAACUAUAGGAUAGGAUAUACUAAGUUGGAUCCAAUAUGUAAGGUAACAGAGCUCUGCUCUUCACUUUACUGAUCCUGCCUCUGAUUGUUUAUGUUUUUCCUAAUUCUGUUGCAUAUUUAUUAUUCAAUUCUGUUUCCUUUCUCUUAUUUUGUUCUCUUUUGGCUACUUCAAAUUUUGUGCUUUUUCUAUAUGUGUUAAUUAAAUUUAUAUAAAUUACUCCUCCUAAAUAAAAAUAGAUAAUGUAACUGUACAAAAAAAUUAUAUAAAGUUAUAUUAAAUGAAUAAAACUUUCAAUUAUCAUAAGAAGCGUAUAUAUUAAUUGGGAGAUCUCGCAGGUAAAAUCUGAUCAAUGAUUAUUUUAGUCAAGAUUUAAAUUUGGGUUCCUAAAUGCUUUGUUAUUUUUUAUAUUUCUUUUUAAUUUCGAAAAUAUAUUGAAUUUGCAAAGAAAAUUAUACAGGAAUGAAAAACAAGUGAGUAAUAAGUUGUGUCGUUAACCCUUUUUGGAAGACAAAAAGGGUUCUUAAUUGAAGUUAAUUAAUCAUUUAAGCAUAAUGACAUAGUUUUGGGUUACCAUGUUAUCGGUAUAAAGUUUUCACCGUCGUUUUACAAAUGAUUAAUCCGUUUCAGAGAAUCUGUGGGCAUAUACAAAACUAGAUCGUCCACCGGUGCUGCCGCACGGGUCAUAUAUAGUUAAAAACAUAACGCAAUGAUCUUUAUAAUACACGUUAUUUAUUCGAUAAAGCCUUGUGAGUGAGUUAAAUAUAAUCUCUUAUAAACGUCGAAUUGGUACGAAUAAGUUAACAAUGUGUUUAGAAAUAACAAACAUUCACAAUCACUAUUGGAGCAUAUAAUAAUGCAUCAACAAUGUCAUAACACGUGUAAUCAAAAAACAUAUUGACGGACAUGUCCCAUAACAAUAUUAGUCAUUAACGGUCUCAAUUGAAGAUAGGCUCAGGAAUAUUAGGCAUAAGCAAUCUCAACUGGAGCAUACAUUAAUGGAUUAACAAUUUAAUAUCACAUCUUCUCAAAGGAUCCAUUUAUGGGUAGGUCAUACAACAAAGAUGGCUAAACAACAUGCGAGUUGUCUUUCAAUUAACCUGACAAAAAGAAAAAA
This 1788-nucleotide long non-coding RNA is filed under the name Medicago truncatula (barrel medic). Its description in RNAcentral is "long non-coding RNA (MTRU_LNC002108)". Lineage: Eukaryota; Viridiplantae; Streptophyta; Magnoliopsida; Fabales; Fabaceae. The record is from RNAcentral.